This 314-nucleotide unclassified non-coding RNA is filed under the name Hevea brasiliensis (rubber tree). Lineage: Eukaryota; Viridiplantae; Streptophyta; Magnoliopsida; Malpighiales; Euphorbiaceae. The record is from RNAcentral.
AUGAAGAAACUUGCUUGGAACACGAUGGGAAGGAGUGACAUAUUGGAAUAAAGAUUUUUUUGCCUAGUUUUGCUAGUUUUAAUUAAAAUGAUUUACCAGCAUUAGCAAUAAAUAUAUAUUGCAAUUGCCAAAAUAGUUGAUGGAGGUUGCUGUGUACUUGUUCUAGCUCAUAAUCAAUUCAUGCAUCAUUUGUGCUCUUCUUCUAUGGUGGGUAUUUAAAAUAUGCUUUUCCAUUUUUUUUUUCAUUAAUGAAACUUUAUAAAAUUGUAGAGAUUACUUUGCUUCAAUGAUCCAACUUAGUCGUAGUAGGAUAG